Molecule: long non-coding RNA, 951 nt
Organism: Pipra filicauda (Wire-tailed manakin)
Lineage: Eukaryota; Metazoa; Chordata; Aves; Passeriformes; Pipridae
Exons: 3
Source: RefSeq, a predicted model, not a curated record
UGAAGCUUGAGGCACAAACCUGGAGCAAAUCAUACCAUGACAGCAGCAUACAGAGGACCAGGCUGUGCAUUUGAAAAUGUGAAAAAGAAACGUGCUGUGUCUGGAAAGGUUCAGGAGAGGUUUACUGAGUGGAUGCACAGAGGACCUGAGCCAAAUCAAGGAGAUGAUUAUGGGUCUGCUGGCUUCAUGAAGGUUUGGAGCUGUUUCUCAGAGUUUCAGUCACCCCUGUUUGUCCAUGCAAUGCUCAAAAGGACAAAGAGGGAGCUGUGAGUUCUGCACAAUGCACUCCUUUGUACGGUGCAGACAGGCAAAUUCUCGGCUUCACGGGAUAAAAACCAACCCAACACAUCAGUGAGAGGAAGAAACAGAGCCUGAGCUGUGAUGCCCUGACUGCUUACUAGAAGGCUGCAGAGUGGCCUUGAGGCUACAAAUGUUCCUCUGCUGGAAAGCCCGUCAGGAGUAAACCCGGGAGGCCACAUCUGUGAGUGUGUGAAUGGAGCAGAGCCGCCCUCCCACACAACAGGAAUGCCAUCAGAAGGAUGUGCUCUGUAUGGGAGGAGAAAAAUUUAUCUGUUUGUACAUCACUACGGAAACCCAGAUACAGUAUCACUGCCAAAGUGCUGAAGACAGUACAGUUUGUGACUAUGACUCAAAAUUACUAAAGCAGAGAUCUUUAAAUGAUGUUGAUAGAGCAGAAAAAUAUAUAUAAAAAGAGAAACAUGCUUUUUAAAAAAUGAACUAAAGAAAUAUAAUAUUCCCCUUUCACAUCAACAGGAAAUAUGACUACAGGUUAGUUCAUGCCUGCAGUGCAUUGAGGUUACAGAAUCCGGAAAGAAAUGAGCUUCAUAGAGCAUGAUAUAAAUUGUAUUUUUCCCACAAUUUCUAAACUGUAAGCAGUUUAUUCUCCUCAGAGAUUUUGUUUCAAGAGGUCGUUUCUGUUUUUGUGAUAUA